AGCAGUUUAUAUGAGUUCUGUUUCAAUCAUUUCAGGACCACAAGAGUACAAUAAAAGCAAUUUACACGGGUUCUGAAUUUCUGGAGAGUGUUUUUGCUGGUGUUGAAGUUGGCUCGAUGCUUAUUUGUUUCGUCGAUUUCAGUUAUUCAGGAUUCACUCCACGAACAUAAACAACGGGUGGACUUGCCAAAAAGUACUUUUCCUUCGGAUAAAGAGAGAAGACAUUUCUACCUUAGGUUAAAGAGAGAGAGAGAAGACAUUUCUGUAGAGCAUCAGGUUUAAUCCUUAAUGGGCUUAUAUGCUUAUAGAGAUUGAAUGAUCUUAUUUGUUUGUUAUUCUGUUUAAAUCAAACUUGAACUAAAUUUAUUGUUUGUAUUGGUAUUA
This is a long non-coding RNA of Humulus lupulus (European hop), 384 nucleotides long. RefSeq lists it as uncharacterized. The record is from RefSeq and is a predicted model, not a curated record. The transcript has 3 exons. Lineage: Eukaryota; Viridiplantae; Streptophyta; Magnoliopsida; Rosales; Cannabaceae.